This 274-nucleotide ribosomal RNA is filed under the name uncultured bacterium. Its description in RNAcentral is "partial 16S ribosomal RNA". It matches the Rfam family "Bacterial small subunit ribosomal RNA", at positions 523 to 796 of the family's 1533-position model. The record is from RNAcentral.
AUACAGAGGGUGCGAGCGUUAAUCGGAAUUACUGGGCGUAAAGCGCGCGUAGGCGGCUUAUUAAGUCAGAUGUUAAAUCCCCGGGCUCAACCUGGGAACUGCAUCUGAUACUGGUAAGCUAGAGUUUUGGAGAGGGAAGUAGAAUUUCAGGUGUAGCGGUGAAAUGCAUAGAGAUCUGAAGGAAUACCAGUGGCGAAGGCGACUUCCUGGCCAAAAACUGACGCUGAGGUGCGAAAGCGUGGGUAGCAAACGGGAUUAGAAACCCUAGUAGUCC